GACGAACGCUGGCGGCGUGCUUAACACAUGCAAGUCGAACGGAAAGGCCUGUUCUUCCUUGUGGUUUCCGGGUACUCGAGUGGCAAAAGGGUGAGUAACCCGUGCGUGAUCUGGCCCCUAGUCGGGCAUAAGCCUGGGUAAUUGGGCCUAAUUUCCGAUAGGACUGCAGGGUGGCGAUCGUGGUGGGAACUGUUUUUUUUGUGGAUGGGGAUUAGCUUGCGGCCUAUCAGCGUGGUGGAGGGGUAAUGGCCGACCAAGGCGGCGACGGGUAGCCGGCAGGGGAUGGGGGACAGCCACAUUGAGACUGGGAUACGGCCCAGACUCCUACGGGAAGCAGCAGUUGGGAAUAUAUCACAAUGGGCGUGAUCCUGAAGCGGCGACGCCGCGUAGAAGGUGACGGCCUUCUGGUGGUAAUCUCCUUGCGACCACAAGGAAGCCACCUGGUUGGAAGGGUGAUGACGGUAGUGGUAGAAGAAGCACCGGCUAACUACGUG
RNAcentral lists this ribosomal RNA (494 nucleotides) under uncultured bacterium. Its description in RNAcentral is "partial 16S ribosomal RNA". It matches the Rfam family "Bacterial small subunit ribosomal RNA", at positions 28 to 507 of the family's 1533-position model. The record is from RNAcentral.